This 490-nucleotide small RNA is filed under the name Pan troglodytes (chimpanzee). RNAcentral's name for it is "retained intron". Lineage: Eukaryota; Metazoa; Chordata; Mammalia; Primates; Hominidae. The record is from RNAcentral.
GGGACCCCUUUAAGCCACUUUGGGAGCCACAUCCACCACUCUGUGACUCCCACACAGGCUGGUUCCCAGGUAUCAGGUGUCCUAGUGUUAACACGGGCCAAAAGGACAAAACAGGACCCUAGGUCCUUCCCAAAACAUUAGGAAAGUUUGUGCACUGAGUUUUUCAGAUUAACUAAGUAAUUCAUACUGUACAUUUCUGAAAUUGAAGUACGCACAGCUUCAAUUCUGUGCAGGGAGGAUGCAACAGGAGAGAAUAUCCUGGGCACAUCUUUCUGGAGAAUCAUUUUUACUACAAGAUUUGUAAGAAACAAAUUUAUUUCCAAGGUAAGAAAUUAAAACUCUAAAACAAGGCUAGAAAGUCAUCUGCCUUUAAUAACCCUUAGUCAUCUGUGCCUGAUAUGUGAGACUUUCUCCAAGAUAAAUCUCUCAAGGAUAACCUAUUUUCCAUCAUUAUAAUUAGUAAAAAUUAGAAAUUUUAGAAAGUCAAUUG